This 1388-nucleotide ribosomal RNA is filed under the name uncultured bacterium. RNAcentral's name for it is "partial 16S ribosomal RNA". It matches the Rfam family "Bacterial small subunit ribosomal RNA". The record is from RNAcentral.
UUAGAGUUUGAUCCUGGCUCAGGACGAACGCUGGCGGCGUGCUUAACACAUGCAAGUCGAACGGAGGUUAUUUUGAAGCGCAAGUAGAUAAAUAACCUUAGUGGCGGACGGGUGAGUAACGCGUGGAUAACCUGCCUGAAUGACCGGGGCAACACCGGGAAACUGGUGCUAAUACCGGAUACGCUCUUAGAUGCCCAUGCAUAUAAGAGGAAAGGAGCAAUCCGCAUACAGAUGGGUCCGCGUCCCAUUAGCUAGUUGGGGGUGUAAGAGACUCCCAAGGCAACGAUGGGUAGCCGGCCUGAGAGGGUGGACGGCCACACUGGAACUGAGACACGGUCCAGACUCCUACGGGAGGCAGCAGUGGGGAAUAUUGCACAAUGGGGGAAACCCUGAUGCAGCAACGCCGCGUGAGUGAUGACGGUCUUCGGAUUGUAAAGCUCUGUCUUCAGGGACGAUAAUGACGGUACCUGAGGAGGAAGCCACGGCUAACUACGUGCCAGCAGCCGCGGUAAUACGUAGGUGGCAAGCGUUGUCCGGAUUUACUGGGCGUAAAGGGAGCGUAGGCGGAUUUUUAAGUGAGAUGUGAAAUACUCGGGCUUAACCUGGGUGCUGCAUUUCAAACUGGAAGUCUAGAGUGCAGGAGAGGAGAAGGGAAUUCCUAGUGUAGCGGUGAAAUGCGUAGAGAUUAGGAAGAACACCAGUGGCGAAGGCGGCCUCCUGGACCAUUCCUGACACUCAGACGCGAAAGCUAGGGUAGCAAACGGAAUUAGAGACUCCGGUAGUCCUAGCCCUAAACGAUGCAGACUAGGCGUCGGCGGUUUAAUCACCGUCGGUGUCCAAGCUAACGCGAUAAGUCUGCCGCCUGAGGACUACGGCCGCAAGGCUAAAACUCAAAGGAAUUGACGGGGGCCCGCACAAGCGGAGGAACAUGUGGUUUAAUUCGAUGAUACGCGAGGAACCUUACCCGGGCUUGAAAUGCAUCUGACCGGCACAGAGACGUGCCUUCCCUUCGGGGCAGAUGUGUAGGUGCUGCAUGGUUGUCGUCAGCUCGUGCCGUGAGGUGUCGGCUUAAGUGCCAUAACGAGCGCAACCCUUGUCAUUAGUUGCCAUCAGGUCAAGCUGGGGACUUUAAUGAGACUGCCACCGUAAGGUGUGAGGAAGGGGGGGAGGACGUCAAAUCAGCACGGCCCUUAUGUCCGGGGCGACACACGUGUUACAAUGGGAGGUACAGAGGGCAGCUAUCCGGUGACGGAAUGCUAAUCUCCAAAACCUUUCUCAGUUCGGAUUGGAGUCUGCAACUCGACUCCAUGAAGGUGGAUUCGCUAGUAAUCGCGCAUCAGCCAUGGCGCGGUGAAUACGUUCCCGGGCCUUGUACUCACCGCCCGUCA